This 297-nucleotide ribosomal RNA is filed under the name Triticum aestivum (bread wheat). RNAcentral describes it as "partial small subunit ribosomal RNA". Lineage: Eukaryota; Viridiplantae; Streptophyta; Magnoliopsida; Poales; Poaceae. The record is from RNAcentral.
AUGGAGUGGACCGAUGAGUACGUCCAAAUUGUUUGUUCCUUGAUGGCUGAACAAGUGGGACAGGGGAAUUGUCCCAACACUCAUUUGAACCCUUUAGGCUAUAACACUGUGUCAGAAAGGUUCUACCAGAUGACCGGAAUUAGUUUAUCAAAGACACAACUGAAGAACAAGUGGGAUAAGUUAAAGGGCGACUGGUCUUGUUGGAAUAAAUUAAUGAGGAAGCAAACUGGGACAGGUUGGGACAGUGGGAGUUAUUGUCAUGGACAAUGAGUGGUGGAAGAAGGCGAGAAAGGUUAG